GGCUCGACUCUCCCACCCAAUGUGUACCUACCUCUGUUGCUUUGGCGGGCCGC
This 53-nucleotide ribosomal RNA is filed under the name Neofusicoccum parvum. RNAcentral's name for it is "partial 18S ribosomal RNA". The record is from RNAcentral. Lineage: Eukaryota; Fungi; Ascomycota; Dothideomycetes; Botryosphaeriales; Botryosphaeriaceae.